Molecule: ribosomal RNA, 497 nt
Filed under: uncultured bacterium
Lineage: Bacteria
Description: partial 16S ribosomal RNA
Rfam family: Bacterial small subunit ribosomal RNA
Source: RNAcentral
GAUGAACGCUGGCGGCGUGCCUAAUACAUGCAAGUCGAGCGAACAGACGAGGAGCUUGCUCCUCUGACGUUAGCGGCGGACGGGUGAGUAACACGUGGAUAACCUACCUAUAAGACUGGGAUAACUUCGGGAAACCGGAGCUAAUACCGGAUAAUAUAUUGAACCGCAUGGUUCAAUAGUGAAAGACGGUUUUGCUGUCACUUAUAGAUGGAUCCGCGCCGCAUUAGCUAGUUGGUAAGGUAACGGCUUACCAAGGCGACGAUGCGUAGCCGACCUGAGAGGGUGAUCGGCCACACUGGAACUGAGAAAAGGUCCAGACUCCUAAGGGAGGCAGCAGGAGGGAAUCUUCCGGAAUGGGCGGAAGCCUGACGGGGCAAAGCCGCGUGAGUGAUGAAGGUCUUCGGAUCGUAAAACUCUGUUAAUAGGGAAGAACAAAUGUGUAAGUAACUAUGCAAGGCUUGAAGGUACCUAAUCAGAAAGCCACGGCUAAAUAAGUG